RNAcentral lists this ribosomal RNA (490 nucleotides) under uncultured bacterium. Its description in RNAcentral is "partial 16S ribosomal RNA". It matches the Rfam family "Bacterial small subunit ribosomal RNA", at positions 30 to 507 of the family's 1533-position model. The record is from RNAcentral.
AUUGAACGCUGGCGGCAGGCCUAACACAUGCAAGUCGAACGGUAACAGGAUGCAGCUGUCUGCUUCGCUGACGAGGGGCGGGCGGGUGAGUAAUGUGUGGCAAACUGCUUGAUGUAGGGUGAUAACUACUGGAAACGGUAACUACUACCUCAUAACUUCGCAAGACUAGAGAGGGGGACCUUAUGGCCUCUUGUCAUCAGAUGCGCCCAGAUUGUCUUAGCUUGGAGGGGGGGUAACGGCUCACCUAGGCGACGAUCGCUAGAUGGUCUGAGAGGAUGAGCAGCGACACUGGAACUGAGACACGGUCCAGACUCCUACGGGAGGCAGCAGUGGGGAAUAUUGCGCAAUGGGCGCAAGCCUGGUGCAGCCAUGCCGCGUGUAAGGAAGAGGCCUUCGGGUUGUAAAGUACUUUCAGCGGGGAGGAAGGGAGUACAGUUAAUACCUAUGCUGAUUGACGUUACCCGCAGAAGAAGCACCGGCUAACUCCGUG